RNAcentral lists this ribosomal RNA (253 nucleotides) under uncultured bacterium. Its description in RNAcentral is "partial 16S ribosomal RNA". It matches the Rfam family "Bacterial small subunit ribosomal RNA", at positions 524 to 776 of the family's 1533-position model. The record is from RNAcentral.
UACGGGGGGGGCAAGCGUUGUUCGGAAUUACUGGGCGUAAAGGGCUCGUAGGCGGCCAACUAAGUCAGACGUGAAAUCCCUCGGCUUAACCGGGGAACUGCGUCUGAUACUGGAUGGCUCGAGAUUGGGAGAGGGAUGCGGAAUUCCAGGUGUAGCGGUGAAAUGCGUAGAUAUCAGGAAGAACACCAACGGCGAAGGCAGCUCGCUGGGACGGAACUGACGCUGAGGCGCGAAAGCGUGGGGAGCGAACAGG